RNAcentral lists this ribosomal RNA (497 nucleotides) under uncultured bacterium. Its description in RNAcentral is "partial 16S ribosomal RNA". It matches the Rfam family "Bacterial small subunit ribosomal RNA", at positions 28 to 507 of the family's 1533-position model. The record is from RNAcentral.
GAUGAACGCUGGCGGCGUGCCUAAUACAUGCAAGUCGAGCGAACAGACGAGGAGCUUGCUCCUCUGACGUUAGCGGCGGACGGGUGAGUAACACGUGGAUAACCUACCUAUAAGACUGGGAUAACUUCGGGAAACCGGAGCUAAUACCGGAUAAUAUAUUGAACCGCAUGGUUCAAUAGUGAAAGACGGUUUUGGUGUCACUUAUAGAUGGAUCCGCGCCGCAUUAGCUAGUUGGUAAGGUAACGGCUUAGCAAGGCAACGAUGCGUAGCCGACGUGAGAGGGUGAUCGGCCACACUGGAACUGGAACGCGGUCCAGACUCCUACGGGAGGCAGCAGUAGGGAAUCUGCCGCAAUAGGCGAAAGCCUGACAGAGCAACGCCGCGUGAGUGAUGAAGGUCUUCGGAUCGUAAAACUCUGUUAUUGGGGAAGAACAAAUUUGUAAGUAACUAUGCACGUCUUGACGGUACCUAGUCAGAAAGCCACGGCUAACUACGUG